UGCCAGUAGUCAUAUGCUUGUCUCA
RNAcentral lists this non-coding RNA (25 nucleotides) under Arabidopsis thaliana (thale cress). Lineage: Eukaryota; Viridiplantae; Streptophyta; Magnoliopsida; Brassicales; Brassicaceae. The record is from RNAcentral. RNAcentral also lists the same sequence under 2 other names.